GUUUCUCCUCGGGGACUCCCCUGCCAGUCCCUGUAGAUCUACCGAUAUCUCGCGACACUGGGCUUCAGCUGCAGUGCCUCAGGCUUGAUGCCGUGCUUCUCUGAGAGGCUUCUGACGCCCGGGAGAUUCCAAGACUUGGUGAGGAAACUGUCUGACACCACUUUUCCUGCUGACCACUUGGUGCCUCAGCCUACUAAGAGUGUCCUUGUUUGGCUUUGGGAGACUCAAGCUCAAAUGAGAAGACAGUAAACUAAGCAAGGUGGACAUCUGCUUCAUUGGGCAUUGAGGUAGAAAGAAGAAAAAAGUCAAAGCCUAAGGCCACCGAAUUUCAGAACUUCAUUGCUGCUUUGAGCACCAGUUCUACCUCCAAGGAGGCCGAAGGGAUGCUAAAUAGUAUUUUUCACAGUUGAAGACUCCAUUUCACCUUGAUAUCCCUUAAGCGUAAUGACAGUUCUCCGUUUAGACCAAUUUAAGUAUGGAAGUUGGGAGGGAGCAGAGGGAAGCUACAGAAACUUUGCAGGGAGGAGUAGAGGCGAGAGGCCAAUACUUAUUUAUGCAAAAGGCCAGCGGACGCUUAAUUGCUUGGAGGCUUAUGUCUCAAUUUUAACUUUAUAUCCUUACCUGGGGAAAAGGAGAAUAGCAUUCAUUCAUCUGCCUAUUUAUUGAAAGUCUUCCAUGAGCAAUCACUAUAAGUGGGGGUAAAUAGAGUGGAGGUUUAGAGAGCUAGAGUGGAAAAGAAGAAGAAAAACUCAACACAAGAUUAAAAUGUGGCCUCUAUCCUUAAGAAAUAACAAUGAAGUGGGAAAAUGAAACGAAUAAACUUUUAAAAAAUUAAUUGAGCAGCAAGUGUUCAGAGGAGUUGAAAGUUCAAAAGGAGUCUUUGUUAUUUCUGUUACCCCAAUCCCAUCACACACACACAUUCACCCACCAAUACUUUACAGCUGUGCCAGGCCUCGGAUUGGUACCUUUUAUGUUCUCAAUAUGCUCUCUGA
RNAcentral lists this long non-coding RNA (992 nucleotides) under Equus caballus (horse). Its description in RNAcentral is "lncRNA (ENSECAG00000029301.2)". The record is from RNAcentral. Lineage: Eukaryota; Metazoa; Chordata; Mammalia; Perissodactyla; Equidae.